AUCGCUUCUCAGCCUUUUAGCUAAGAUCAAGUGUAGUAUCUGUUCUUAUCAGUUUAAUAUCUGAUACGUCUUCUAUCUGAGGACAAUAUAUUAAAUGGAUUUUUGGAACUAGGAGUUGGAAUAGGAGCUUGCUCCGUCCACUCCACGCAUUGACCUGGUAUUGCAGUACCUCCAGGAAGAGUGCACCCCGU
RNAcentral lists this small nuclear RNA (191 nucleotides) under Nannospalax galili (Upper Galilee mountains blind mole rat). RNAcentral describes it as "U2 spliceosomal RNA (ENSNGAG00000003963.1)". It matches the Rfam family "U2 spliceosomal RNA". Rfam says of the family: U2 is a small nuclear RNA (snRNA) component of the spliceosome (involved in pre-mRNA splicing). Complementary binding between U2 snRNA (in an area lying towards the 5' end but 3' to hairpin I) and the branchpoint sequence (BPS) of the intron results the bulging out of an unpaired adenosine, on the BPS, which initiates a nucleophilic attack at the intronic 5' splice site, thus starting the first of two transesterification reactions that mediate splicing. The record is from Rfam by way of RNAcentral. Lineage: Eukaryota; Metazoa; Chordata; Mammalia; Rodentia; Spalacidae.